GACCCUUGUUAAGAGACUUUUCAUGCUCCUAAGAUCAAGAUCACGUACACACCACAUAUAUAUAUGCUGCUUCUACACUGGAAGUACGCAACCACAUGUAUUUCGCAUCCACUAAAUAGGUUGCUCCAUACUCUAAAUGUUAGAACAUCUCUCUAAGCAUUAUUUGGUAAAUGAGACAUCAAAAGGCUAGGCAAAAUGAAAUAAAAAGAUGGACAUGUGCAAGUCCACAGAAAAAGAAAAUUGAGCACAUGAAAGCUCAUAUAUAUAAAAAAAAAGAAGAAAAAAAUGCUAGCCAUGUCUCAAUACAUAGAGAGUCUAUCAAAUAAAGGAGCAACCUAGUCCACCAUAUAUCACACUUGCACAUCUUGAUCUGGGAGUAUGACACUUCUCUUCAAGGAUCCGAGCUUUGACUUCGCAAUAUAUGCAAAGUAAGUAUGCUAUCUCCUUUCAUCCCUACCUUGAACUCCACAUAAGCCUUUUAGAAAUAGGAUGAAAUAGAGAAGGCAACUCUUACCAUAUGCCUUGGUGAGGAAUCAUACACCAUUUGAGUGACAUGAGAGAACCAUAAGAGGAACAUUUAAGCUUUCUUUUGAAAAUAUCACAAAACCUCUGAUAUGAAACUUGCUAAGAAUGAGAAAGUUAGUGCUCAAGUCAAACUGUUCUGUCUCUCAACCACCUAAGACAAAGGAAAAGCCAUAAGCCCCAUAAGGGACUAAGGUAAUAGGGGUA
RNAcentral lists this long non-coding RNA (729 nucleotides) under Sorghum bicolor (sorghum). RNAcentral describes it as "long non-coding RNA (SBIC_LNC003047)". The record is from RNAcentral. Lineage: Eukaryota; Viridiplantae; Streptophyta; Magnoliopsida; Poales; Poaceae.